This 445-nucleotide ribosomal RNA is filed under the name uncultured bacterium. Its description in RNAcentral is "partial 16S ribosomal RNA". It matches the Rfam family "Bacterial small subunit ribosomal RNA", at positions 354 to 796 of the family's 1533-position model. The record is from RNAcentral.
GUGAGGAAUAUUGGUCAAUGGACGAGAGUCUGAACCAGCCAAGUCGCGUGAAGGAAGACGGUUCUAUGAAUUGUAAACUUCUUUUGUGCAGGAAUAAAGUGGGUUACGUGUAACCUUUUGUAUGUACUGUACGAAUAAGGAUCGGCUAACUCCGUGCCAGCAGCCGCGGUAAUACGGAGGAUCCGAGCGUUAUCCGGAUUUAUUGGGUUUAAAGGGUGCGUAGGUGGAUUGAUAAGUCAGCGGUGAAAGUUUGCAGCUUAACUGUAAAAUUGCCGUUGAAACUGUCGAUCUUGAGUGCAAAUGAGGUAAGCGGAAUGUGUUGUGUAGCGGUGAAAUGCUUAGAUAUAACACAGAACACCGAUUGCGAAGGCAGCUUACUGGGAUGCAACUGACGCUCAUGCACGAAAGCGUGGGGAUCAAACAGGAUUAGAUACCCCAGUAGUCC